UGGGGAAUAUUGCACAAUGGGCGAAAGCCUGAUGCAGCGACGCCGCGUGAGGGAUGACGGCCUUCGGGUUGUAAACCUCUUUCAGCAGGGACGAAGCGCAAGUGACGGUACCUGCAGAAGAAGCACCGGCUAACUACGUGCCAGCAGCCGCGGUAAUACGUAGGGUGCAAGCGUUGUCCGGAAUUACUGGGCGUAAAGAGUUCGUAGGCGGUUUGUCGCGUCGUUUGAGAAAACCAGCAGCUCAACUGCUGGCUUGCAGGCGAUACGGGCAGACUUGAGUACUGCAGGGGAGACUGGAAUUCCUGGUGUAGCGGUGAAAUGCGCAGAUAUCAGGAGGAACACCGGUGGCGAAGGCGGGUCUCUGGGCAGUAACUGACGCUGAGGAACGAAAGCGUGGGUAGCGAACAGG
Molecule: ribosomal RNA, 409 nt
Filed under: bacterium
Lineage: Bacteria
Description: partial 16S ribosomal RNA
Rfam family: Bacterial small subunit ribosomal RNA
Source: RNAcentral